Molecule: ribosomal RNA, 333 nt
Filed under: uncultured bacterium
Lineage: Bacteria
Description: bacterial SSU rRNA
Rfam family: Bacterial small subunit ribosomal RNA
Source: RNAcentral
CGUGUAGGCGGUUGGUCCAGUCGGAUGUGAAAGCCUGGGGCUCAGCCCCAGAAGUGCAUCCGAAACUAGCCAGCUAGAGCGCGAUAGAGGAGGGUGGAAUUCCUGGUGUAGCGGUGAAAUGCGUAGAUAUCAGGAGGAACACCGGCGGCGAAGGCGGCCCUCUGGAUCGUUGCUGACGCUGAGACGCGAAAGCGUGGGGAGCAAACAGGAUUAGAUACCCUGGUAGUCCACGCCUUAAACGAUGGGUACUAGGUGUUCGGGGUGUUGACCCCCUGAGUGCCGCAGUUAACGCAUUAAGUACCCCGCCUGGGGACUACGGCCGCAAGGUUAAAA